UGAGGGGUAGAAAUGUCAUAUCAU
This 24-nucleotide microRNA is filed under the name Oryza sativa (Asian cultivated rice). Its description in RNAcentral is "osa-miR5148b". Lineage: Eukaryota; Viridiplantae; Streptophyta; Magnoliopsida; Poales; Poaceae. RNAcentral also lists the same sequence under 1 other name. The record is from miRBase by way of RNAcentral.